Molecule: ribosomal RNA, 240 nt
Filed under: uncultured bacterium
Lineage: Bacteria
Description: partial 16S ribosomal RNA
Rfam family: Bacterial small subunit ribosomal RNA
Source: RNAcentral
GAUUAUGGCUCAGGAUGAACGCUAGCUACAGGUUUAACACAUGCAAGUCGAGGGGCAGCAUGGUCUUAGCUUGCUAAGGCCGAUGGCGACCGGCGCACGGGUGAGUAACGCGUAUCCAACCCCUGCCUUACACUCUUGGACAGCCUUCUGAAAGGGAGAUUAAUACAAGAUGUUAUCAUGAGUAAGCAUUUUCGCAUGAUUAAAGGUUUACCGGUGUAAGAUGGGGAUGCGUUCCAUUAG